AAGAGAAAGAAAAUUCGAUUCCCUAAGUAGCGGCGAGCGAAAGGGGAAGAGCCCAAACCAGGAACUUGUUCCUGGGGUUGCGGAUAGAUCAUAACGCUUUGAUUUCUUUAGUUGAAGCGAACUGGAAAGUUCCGUCGUAGAAGGUAAUAACCCUGUAGGCGAAAAGGAAAGAAAAGUAGAUCUACUCCAGAGUACCACGAGACACGUGAAACCUUGUGGGAAGCUGGGAGGACCAUCUCCCAAGGCUAAAUACUACCUAGUGACCGAUAGUGAAGCAGUACCGUGAGGGAAAGGUGAAAAGAACCCCGGAAGGGGAGUGAAAUAGAAUCUGAAACCGUGUGCCUACAAUCGGUCGGAGCACAUUAAAGUGUGACGGCGUACUUUUUGUAGAACGGGCCAGCGAGUUACGAUAUAUAGCAAGGUUAAGCACUUAUGGUGUGGAGCCGAAGGGAAACCGAGUCUGAAUAGGGCAACUAGUUGUAUAUUGUAGACCCGAAACCGGGUGACCUAUCCAUGGCCAGGAUGAAGCGGAAGUAAAAUUCCGUGGAGGUCCGAACCACGUUGGUGUUGAAAAACCAUGGGAUGAGCUGUGGAUAGCGGAGAAAUUCCAAUCGAACUCGGAGAUAGCUGGUUCUCCUCGAAAUAGCUUUAGGGCUAGCGUCGGGUAAUUGAGUAGUGGAGGUAGAGCACUGAAUGGGCUAGGGGCUGACAACAGUUACUGAACCCUAUCAAACUCCGAAUGCCAUAUACUUGUACCCCGGCAGUCAGACUACGAAUGAUAAGAUCCGUGGUCAAAAGGGAAACAGCCCAGACCAUCAGCUAAGGUCCCAAAGUGUAAGUUAAGUGGGAAAGGAUGUGGGAUUUCUAAGACAACUAGGAUGUUGGCUUAGAAGCAGCCACUCAUUUAAAGAGUGCGUAAUAGCUCACUAGUCGAGAGAUCCUGCGCCGAAGAUGUAACGGGGCUCAAACUUACCACCGAAGCUAUGGAUGUGUACUUUGUACACGUGGUAGAGGAGCUUUCUGUACAGGUUGAAGUCAUACCGUAAGGAGUGGUGGACAGUACAGAAGUGAGAAUGCUGGCAUAAGUAGCGAAAAACAAGUGAGAAUCUUGUUGACCGAAUAUCUAAGGUUUCCUGGGGAAGGCUCG
Molecule: ribosomal RNA, 1147 nt
Filed under: Clostridium botulinum C
Lineage: Bacteria; Bacillati; Bacillota; Clostridia; Eubacteriales; Clostridiaceae
Description: partial 23S ribosomal RNA
Rfam family: Bacterial large subunit ribosomal RNA
Source: RNAcentral